GUCCGAACCCACUAACGUUGAAAAGUUAGGGGAUGAGCUGUGGAUAGGGGUGAAAGGCUAAACAAACCUGGAAAUAGCUGGUUCUCUCCGAAAACUAUUUAGGUAGUGCCUCGUGUAUCACCUUCGGGGGUAGAGCACUGUCAUGGUUGUGGGGUCCAUUGCGGAUUACUACGCCAUAGCAAACUCCGAAUACCGAAGAGUGCACUCACGGGAGACAGACAUCGGGUGCUAACGUCCGGUGUCAAGAGGGAAACAACCCAGACCGCCAGCUAAGGUCCCCAAAUAUUGCUAAGUGGGAAACGAAGUGGGAAGGCUAAAACAGUCAGGAGGUUGGCUUAGAAGCAGCCAUCCUUUAAAGAAAGCGUAAUAGCUCACUGAUCGAGUCGUCCUGCGCGGAAGAUGUAACGGGGCUAAGCAAUAUACCGAAGC
This 429-nucleotide ribosomal RNA is filed under the name Bacillus halotolerans. RNAcentral's name for it is "partial 23S ribosomal RNA". It matches the Rfam family "Bacterial large subunit ribosomal RNA", at positions 772 to 1200 of the family's 2925-position model. Lineage: Bacteria; Bacillati; Bacillota; Bacilli; Caryophanales; Bacillaceae. The record is from RNAcentral.